Molecule: long non-coding RNA, 111 nt
Organism: Sinocyclocheilus anshuiensis
Lineage: Eukaryota; Metazoa; Chordata; Actinopteri; Cypriniformes; Cyprinidae
Exons: 3
Source: RefSeq, a predicted model, not a curated record
UGAAAUCAGCAUCUUCAAAAAGCUGGUCAGCAGAAGGAAGCAUGAAGUGCUCCAAAAUUUAUUGGUAAACGGGGGCAGUGACGUUGCAUUAUGUUUUCAAAAAACACAAUG